Molecule: long non-coding RNA, 2511 nt
Filed under: Daphnia pulex (common water flea)
Lineage: Eukaryota; Metazoa; Arthropoda; Branchiopoda; Diplostraca; Daphniidae
Description: uncharacterized LOC124198234
Source: RNAcentral
GCCGAUUUCACCUCGUUUCACGGUAAGAACAACAAGGGCGACACUGGCGACAUCUAGUAAUCAGUUUUUAAAUCUUAAAUUUGUUGCACAGUCACAUCAAGCACAGACAUCACAUGACAGUAGGACACGUCGUUCGUUAUUUCAAAUUUCAAAACAAAUUAAAAAGUUAACAACGGAGAUUGGAUAAUAAAUAAUUUCAGCUUUCAGCAGUUCUCAUAUAACCUGGCCAACUAGGUGCUCGUGACAAUAGAAAUGAAAUGGUCUAAUCCAAUAAUGCAAGCUCACAACCUAUGUCUUCUGAAGCAAAAUAAUUUCUGUUGCAAGGUAUAUUACCAAAAUUAUUUUUAAUUACUGUGUUCUUUAAGGCAUUAAUGUUCACGUUAAUUUUUCCCUGAGUUGUAAAUAUUCAAGAUAUUGAUGCCUUCGCUACUAAGGCUCUUCUCUACUUUCUCUUCUCUGACUCUCCACAGUCCACACCCUCUUCCAUACCCCUGCCUGAACUCCUGAAGACAAGACUCUGAAAACUUAAAUAUCAAUCUGACGCCUGGUGAAACAACAGAAUUUAACUUUUGUAAGUGGUUUUUCUGAAAUCUUGUUAUGUAAUACCAUUAUUUGAUAGGUUCUUCAUGGCAUGUAAUUUUCGACUUAGAGAUUUGUGAAAAUAGUUAAAUUGAAAGUGCAAAAUGCAAGAAAUAGAUCUAAAAUAUCAGAUAAUAAGUUAUUAACUCGUUUUAUUCAUCCACAAGCAAAGGUUGUUAAUCGAUGCAAACGAAAGACAAGUAACAAUACGACAAAUUUCGGAAGUUAGUGUAGACGCCAAAAAGGAAAACAAUUUAAUUCAGUAUCGAAACGAACUAGUGCUGCAAAACCAUAGACUGAAGCGUCACAGGUAAACAUUCCCAGGGGAGUUGAUUCCUUCGAGCUUCUUUCGCUGCGAUGCAAGAUAACGGACGAACACCCUGCGAGAAAUUGCCUACCAGUCGGCUUAAUUCGGCAUUUGGAUACCGCGAAAGAAGAGCUUGAAUACGCUCCAAUGCUGAUUGGCCACUUAAAUUAACUUGUUCGUCAUGAAAUCUUUCAUGCAAGAUAAGUCGAACGAUCGAAGUGAAGUUUUCAGCACGAGUAGAAUACGAAGGAUCGUCCCACAUAUGAGAGGAGAAAUGUUCACUAUUUGCCAGCAGAUGAAGAGGGCUGCAGCGUUGUUGAUCUACAGCGUUGGGAUCCGCUCCUGCUUUCAGCAACAACUUGAUAAGCUUGAACUCGUUGGGUGUUCCUUGGUGCGACGUGCAUACUCUAAGCAAGAGGUUCGGUUUUAGAGAUACCCGCUUGAGUUCAAAGAUGUUGAUGUAUACUUCUAGCUGACUCUUCAAUCGCUUGCUUUCACUCUUCGAUUUCGGAAUUGACACCAGCAGUUUGAGAAUAACAAGAAUCAGCUGUGAAAUUUCUUCAAGCUUGUCGGCUUUUGAUUUGAUCGUAUAAUCUUUGAUUUUGAUUUGAUCAUUUCGAGCGUCAUCGUAAACUUUCACCUGGUAUACGAAAGAGAAAACCAGAGAAGUCAUCAAAUUGUCGUAUGUCAAUACUGCAGCCAGUUCUGUUUGAUUCUUGACUGGGUCCCUCAGGGUGUUGAAGAAUUCGGUGAACGUUGAGUGUACGACAUCUUCUAAGUCAGUUUCAUUCUUUACAAGUAGAUCCAAAAACUUUGUUUUACCAAAGAUCUCGAAAAGGUGGAGCGAUGUUGUGAAAGCGCGGGGCCGAGGGACGUUCCGGUCUCCCCAUCCUUGAAGUGCGAAUUUGAACAAAUUGUAGGCAAAAAAUCUAUUCGGAUAGCAGUCACACUUCUUCGAUAUACGUAGACAAGUGAAGAUUGCCUGAGUCGCCCAGUGCGUUCGCCUCUGCCGAAGCAAUCCUUCCAGUUCUUGAACAGUUUGGAAUUCAAGUUUUUUCCUCAUAGCAAGUUUUAGGUUUUCAGAUUGAAGAAUAGUAGACUUCGGAAUGGCAUUGCCUUCUCGCAGAUUCGUGGCUUUAUACCAGCAGCUCCAGCCGUAUCUUCGAGCUUUAGCGUUCCCAUAAAAAACACACGCAGCGCCGACCAGCUCCAGUACUUCAAUGAGCUGCUCUGUAUCAGCGUCCUGUGGUAGAAUCAUACAAUCUGGAUUUUUUGUUUUCUCUUCUUUUUUCAUGAGGUUGAUGUCUGGGUACUUCUUCUUGAGGAUAUGAAAGAUCUGGUCUGAAAUAGUGGUGUCAGAUAGGGCAGGAAUGAAUACUAAUCUCCACUGUUCACUCAACGGGAAGUUGCCAGUAACUUGUUCGACAAAAUACUUCAAGAAAGCCACAUUCUGGUUUUCAACUUCAAGCAGAAGAGAUUCAACAUCAUUCUUCCUUUUCUUAGCAGGAUUACUAUGUUCCUGACAUUCAGGUGUCACAUCAUCAGCUUUCCUUUUAGAACCCAUGUUCUUCCGUGCUUUGGGUUGAUCAGACGGUCUGUAGUCAGUACUGUUCUGAUAAAUUUAA